UGGGGAAUAUUGCACAAUGGGCGAAAGCCUGAUGCAGCGACGCCGCGUGAGGGAUGACGGCCUUCGGGUUGUAAACCUCUUUCAGCAGGGACGAAGCGCAAGUGACGGUAGGUACAGAAGAAGCACCGGCCAACUACGUG
This 140-nucleotide ribosomal RNA is filed under the name uncultured bacterium. Its description in RNAcentral is "partial 16S ribosomal RNA". It matches the Rfam family "Bacterial small subunit ribosomal RNA", at positions 355 to 507 of the family's 1533-position model. The record is from RNAcentral.